This 497-nucleotide ribosomal RNA is filed under the name uncultured bacterium. RNAcentral describes it as "partial 16S ribosomal RNA". It matches the Rfam family "Bacterial small subunit ribosomal RNA", at positions 28 to 507 of the family's 1533-position model. The record is from RNAcentral.
GAUGAACGCUGGCGGCGUGCCUAAUACAUGCCAGUCGAGCGAACAGAUGAGGAGCUUGCUCCUCUGACGUUAGCGGCGGACGGGUGAGUAACACGUGGAUAACCUACCUAUAAGACUGGGAUAACUUCGGGAAACCGGAGCUAAUACCGGAUAAUAUAUUGAACCGCAUGGUUCAAUAGUGAAAGACGGUUUUGCUGUCACUUAUAGAUGGAUCCGCGCCGCAUUAGCUAGUUGGUAAGGUAACGGCUUACCAAGGCAACGAUGCGUAGCCGAACUGAGAGGGUGAUCGGCCACACUGGAACUGAGACACGGUCCAGACUCCUACGGGAGGCAGCAGUAGCGAAUCUUCCGCAAUGGGCGAAAGCCUGACGGAGCAACGCCGCGUGAGUGAUGAAGGUCCUCGGAUCGUAAAGCUCUGUUAUUAGGGAAGAACAAAUGUGUAAGUAACUAUGCACGUCUUGACGGUACCUAAUCAGAAAGCAACGGCUAACUACGUG